GGACCUAGUGGCAGCCACUUGUUUGGUGUC
This 30-nucleotide non-coding RNA is filed under the name Homo sapiens (human). Lineage: Eukaryota; Metazoa; Chordata; Mammalia; Primates; Hominidae. The record is from RNAcentral.